GUGUCAGCCGCCGCGGUAAUACGGAGGGAGCUAGCGUUGUUCGGAAUUACUGGGCGUAAAGCGCGCGUAGGCGGUUUUUUAAGUCAGAGGUGAAAGCCCAGUGCUCAACACUGGAACUGCCUUUGAAACUGGAAAACUUGAAUCUUGGAGAGGUCAGUGGAAUUCCGAGUGUAGAGGUGAAAUUCGUAGAUAUUCGGAAGAACACCAGUGGCGAAGGCGACUGACUGGACAAGUAUUGACGCUGAGGUGCGAAAGCGUGGGGAGCAAACAGGAUUAGAUACCCGUGUAGUCC
Molecule: ribosomal RNA, 292 nt
Filed under: uncultured bacterium
Lineage: Bacteria
Description: partial 16S ribosomal RNA
Rfam family: Bacterial small subunit ribosomal RNA
Source: RNAcentral